RNAcentral lists this unclassified non-coding RNA (297 nucleotides) under uncultured Agaricus. RNAcentral describes it as "sequence contains ITS2". The stretch from base 1 to 52 matches the Rfam family "5.8S ribosomal RNA", at positions 103 to 154 of the family's 154-position model. The record is from RNAcentral. Lineage: Eukaryota; Fungi; Basidiomycota; Agaricomycetes; Agaricales; Agaricaceae.
AACGCAUCUUGCGCUCCUUGGUAUUCCGAGGAGCAUGCCUGUUUGAGUGUCAUUAUAUUCUCAACUCUCCAAUACUUUGUUGUAAAGGAGAGCUUGGAUUGUGGAGGUUUGCUGGCCCCUUACUUGGGGUCAGCUCCUCUGAAAUGCAUUAGCGGAACCGUCUGCGAUCUGCCACAAGUGUGAUAACUUAUCUACACUGGCGAGGGGAUUGCUUUCUGAUGUUCAGCUUCUAAUCGUCUAAGGACAAUUUCUUGAAUGCUUGACCUCAAAUCAGGUAGGACUACCCGCUGAACUUAA